RNAcentral lists this ribosomal RNA (459 nucleotides) under uncultured bacterium. RNAcentral describes it as "partial 16S ribosomal RNA". It matches the Rfam family "Bacterial small subunit ribosomal RNA", at positions 28 to 507 of the family's 1533-position model. The record is from RNAcentral.
GAUGAACGCUGGCGGCGCGCCUAACGCAUGCAAGUCGAACGGCACCCCUCCUCGGAGGGAAGCGAGUGGCGAACGGCCGAGUAACACGUGGAGAACCUGCCCCCUCCCCCGGGAUAGCCGCCCGAAAGGACGGGUAAUACCGGAUACCCCGGGGUGCCGCAUGGCACCCCGGCUAAAGCCCCGACGGGAGGGGAUGGCUCCGCGGCCCAUCAGGUAGACGGCGGGGUGACGGCCCACCGUGCCGACAACGGGUAGCCGGGUUGAGAGACCGACCGGCCAGAUUGGGACUGAGACACGGCCCAGACUCCUACGGGAGGCAGCAGUGGGGAAUCUUGAGCAAUGGGGGGAACCCUGACGCAGCGACGCCGCGUGCGGGACGGAGGCCUUCGGGUCGUAAACCGCUUUCAGCAGGGAAGAGUCAAGACUGUACCUGCAGAAGAAGCCCCGGCUAACUACGUG